GACCUCUGGUUUCUCUUCAUUACGCACAAGCCUUUCGCCUUUUACUAAAGACUUCCGUGGAGAGGAACACUUACGAGUUCAACAUAUUUUUGGAAGGGCUUUGCUUCUGGCAGAGCC
This 117-nucleotide small nuclear RNA is filed under the name Salmo trutta (river trout). RNAcentral's name for it is "U5 spliceosomal RNA (ENSSTUG00000004245.1)". It matches the Rfam family "U5 spliceosomal RNA". Rfam says of the family: U5 RNA is a component of both types of known spliceosome. The precise function of this molecule is unknown, though it is known that the 5' loop is required for splice site selection and p220 binding, and that both the 3' stem-loop and the Sm site are important for Sm protein binding and cap methylation. Lineage: Eukaryota; Metazoa; Chordata; Actinopteri; Salmoniformes; Salmonidae. The record is from Rfam by way of RNAcentral.